AUACCGUAUGAUUUCACUGAUGGGGAAUUUAAAAAGCAAAACAGAUGAACAUAGGGGAAGGGAAGGAAAAAUAAAAUAAGAUGAAAAUUGAGAGCCCAACUUCGGUUCCACGCUCAGCCGGAAGUCUACUUGGGAUUCUUUCCCUCCCCUCCCCCCGACUCCUGCAUGGGCGAGCUCUCUCUCUCUCCGAAGCAAAUUAAUAAAAAAAUAAUAAUAAUACGUUUGUGACGGAAAAUUCAGAAGGCACAAAGAAUAAAUAGGAAGUUUCCUCUCUACCCCAAUCCCUCAGCCACAUCCUUGGACAAAACCAGUGUUAUCAUUUGUUGGGAAACUGACACAAAUUAAAUGACUUGCCCCAACUCACACAGAUGUGGCUGGUGACCAACAUCUCCUAAUAAGGCCUGGUGAAAUAAAACUGAAGUAUUUUUCCCUGAAUGACAGAUAAAAUUUGACAUAUAUCAAUCAGUCUGUCUUGGACGCCAACCAAAGAGAAUAAGAAUCUCACAUAAUAACCAACUCUUUAUUUUUUUAAGUUUAUUUAUUUAAAUAAUCUCUACACCUAACGUGGGGCUUGAACUCACCAUCCCGACAUCAAGAGUCACAUG
Long non-coding RNA from Ailuropoda melanoleuca (giant panda), 605 nucleotides. RefSeq lists it as uncharacterized. NCBI's taxonomy places the organism in Eukaryota, Metazoa, Chordata, Mammalia, Carnivora, Ursidae. The record is from RefSeq and is a predicted model, not a curated record. The transcript is spliced from 3 exons.